UACGUAGGGUGCGAGCGUUGUCCGGAAUUAUUGGGCGUAAAGAGCUUGUAGGCGGUUUGUCGCGUCUGCUGUGAAAUCUCAAGGCUUAACCUUGAGCUUGCAGUGGGUACGGGCAGACUAGAGUGUGGUAGGGGAGACUGGAAUUCCUGGUGUAGCGGUGAAAUGCGCAGAUAUCAGGAGGAACACCGAUGGCGAAGGCAGGUCUCUGGGCCACUACUGACGCUGAGAAGCGAAAGCAUGGGGAGCGAACAGG
Molecule: ribosomal RNA, 253 nt
Filed under: uncultured bacterium
Lineage: Bacteria
Description: partial 16S ribosomal RNA
Rfam family: Bacterial small subunit ribosomal RNA
Source: RNAcentral